ACGGCCAUACCAUGCUGAAUAUACCGGUUCUCGUUAGAUCACCGAAGUCAAGCAUCAUUGGGCGCGGUCAGUACGGGUGGAUGACCACCUGAGAACACCGCGCGCCGUU
Molecule: ribosomal RNA, 109 nt
Filed under: Caerostris extrusa
Lineage: Eukaryota; Metazoa; Arthropoda; Arachnida; Araneae; Araneidae
Source: RNAcentral